Molecule: long non-coding RNA, 1501 nt
Organism: Pygocentrus nattereri (red-bellied piranha)
Lineage: Eukaryota; Metazoa; Chordata; Actinopteri; Characiformes; Serrasalmidae
Source: Ensembl
AACAGCACCAAUAGUAAAAAAACAGGCAAAAACAAAGCGUGAGACAAAAAAAACCAAAGGCCUGCAGGCACUCAGGGCUGGGCAGGACAAGGUGUGCGCCAAACGACAGGUAUGAUGCAGACCUGGGCGGAACCUCCUGGAGUGCUGGUGCUGAUAGUGAAGAUAAGGGUGUCUCACAAUCUCGGUCCAGGGAGGCGGGACGUUCUUCAAGAUCGUCAGACCAGUUGUGGUUACCUGUGCAAGGUGACGACAGACAGGCGUGUGAUCUAUCAGAGGAAUACAGACAGACUGCCCAGCGUCUGUUUCAGACACAACACGUGUUUUUGUUCCCAGAAAACCCACCUGUAAAGAGGCUGGAUCCGCUUAUUAAGCCGAGGAGGGGUCGAGCCGGACUGGAUGGAUGCGGCUCCGCUAACGGACGUGAUGACCUGAACGGUGGAGCCGUCCUUCUGCCCACAAGAAGAAUGGUGAGCCCAGCCCUCUGCGGACGGCGUGGAAGGCUGAGGAAAGUUCUGGACCAUGUCCUGCUCAUUGUCUUUGUCCUGCUUGCUCACACAGUAGCACCUGCCAUGACACUGUCAACUCCACGCAUCACACCGCUGUCUUUCUCUUCAGUGAGCACUAGAACUACAGAAACCUCCGGAACCACGUUUACUGCAAACCCAUCAGUAAGCACCCCACCUGAGAGAAGCACAGGCUCACCCCUGUCGUCGACCUUCACAUCUUCAGUGACUGUUACAAACACAACCUCCGUAACUACGCUGGAUCCUACUGUACAGCAGAACUCCUCUGCGAUCUCAGCCAACUUAGGAAACGCGUCAUCACCUUCUCCCAACCCUGGAUCACCAUCCUCGCUGCCACCAUCCACUGUGGCCACAUCACCCCCACCCCCACGCUCAACUCCACAUCAGCUGACAACGUCUGGUUUAGGUACCACUAAUAGAACCACCACACCUACGUCGUCAGUGACAGACACAGACACGACAGUGACUGUGACCUCAGCUAGCUCUCAUAAUACAACAGAUUCAGGGACGACAGAUCAAAGUAACGCAACCACAUCAUCAGCUCCUGCACUUAACACAACAGGGGCAACGCCAGUCCCUUGCAAGUUCUCACGAAACUGUACUGAUCAGUCUGUGUACUACUGGAUGAUGAUCAGUGUUGAAGUAACUGGGAACGUGUCUGAUGAGUCACACAUUACUGCAUGGCUCCAGAAUCUGUUCGAGCAGCACGUAGGUGAAUGCAGCUCUACUCCCAGUCCUCCUUCCUCCACUCCGUCACAAACGCCAGUGACGUUUACGCCCUCUGAAACCAGCAAUAGCACACAGAGCAGUAGCUUGGCAACCACAUCUGCCAACUUCAGUUCUGCUCCUUCAACGCAAAACGUCAGCUCAGUGACUGGAAACUGGACGUGGGGAAACAGCUCAGUAAAAGAAAAUGAAACCACUACCAGCCUCUUUCAAAACAUUGAGGUGAUAUGUGACAAUAAGACGGCCGUACG